This is a non-coding RNA of Felis catus (domestic cat), 85 nucleotides long. Lineage: Eukaryota; Metazoa; Chordata; Mammalia; Carnivora; Felidae. The record is from Rfam.
ACCUGGCUGGCUCAGUAGGUUGAGCGUCCGACUUUGGCUCAGGUCAUGAUCUCGCGGUUUGUGAGUUCGAGCCCCGCGUCAGGCU